Molecule: ribosomal RNA, 445 nt
Filed under: uncultured bacterium
Lineage: Bacteria
Description: bacterial SSU rRNA
Rfam family: Bacterial small subunit ribosomal RNA
Source: RNAcentral
CCUACGGGGGGCUGCAGUCGAGAAUAUUUGGCAAUGGGCGAAAGCCUGACCAUGCGACGCCGCGUGCUGGAUGAAGUCCUUCGGGACGUAAACAGCUUUUAUGCGUGAGGAAGUUAUUGACGUUAGCGCAUGAAUAAGGGGCUCCUAACUCUGUGCCAGCAGGAGCGGUAAUACAGAGGCCCCAAGCAUUAUCCGGAAUCACUGGGCGUAAAGGGUGUGUAGGUGGCAGUGUUAGUCCUCUGUUAAAGACCACGGGCUUAACCCGAGGAAUGCAGAGGAAACGGCACUGCUUUGAGGAUGUGAGAGGUUACGGGAACUCAUGGUGUAGGGGUGAAAUCCGUUGAUAUCAUGGGGAACACCAAAUGCGAAGGCACGUAACUGGCACAUUCCUGACACUGAAACACGAAAGCGUGGGUAGCGAACGGGAUUAGAUACCCUAGUAGUC